ACUGAAGUUCAUAGAAACUUACACAAAAAAUACACAUAUAAAAACUAUUGACAUCGUCUAUGACUUGUCAGCUGUACGUCAGGUAAUCUGUCGAAAUGAAUUGAAAAAGAAAAAAAUAUCAUAAAUUUUACAGACUCCAGAUUGCCAGAAUAGCUGGCCCUCAAGAUGUUGAGCGUGCAACGGAUUACCCUGACUCGUUAUAUAACCAUCAAGAGUCUGCAGGCGUUGGUGAAUCGGCUGGAAUGCGCUAAUGAUCACCAUAUUCUACCCACCGCUCAUCCGAACUAUCAGGUGCAGGCUCGACGUGAACAAGAUCCUCAACAACAGUUCCCAGGGAUUUGGCGCGAUGCAUUAACCGCCAGUGUUAAUAUAAAGUGCGGGCCGAAUUGGAGGGCUUUGACUAUAUGACGCUA
Molecule: long non-coding RNA, 413 nt
Organism: Pieris napi
Lineage: Eukaryota; Metazoa; Arthropoda; Insecta; Lepidoptera; Pieridae
Exons: 2
Source: RefSeq, a predicted model, not a curated record